Molecule: ribosomal RNA, 1407 nt
Filed under: Allosergestes pectinatus
Lineage: Eukaryota; Metazoa; Arthropoda; Malacostraca; Decapoda; Sergestidae
Description: partial large subunit ribosomal RNA
Source: RNAcentral
AUUAAAUAUCUUGCUUAAGUUAUAUAAAAGUAAAAAAGCUAAAUAAUUAUAAAAGUAAUUUAAAAAAGUAAAAAUUAAAGUAAAAUUUAUUGAAAUAAUAAUGCAAGAGCCAUAGCAAAAAGUACUGUGUAGGAAAGAUUAAAUAAAAUGAAAACUCAAAAUAAACUAAAGCAGUUAUUAACUAUUGUACCUUGUGUAUCAGGGAAAAUUUAAUUUUGGUUUUCUAUCGAAAUAAAUCCCGAAAAAAGAAAMGCUAUCUUAAUAAAAAGUUAUCGUAUUAAAGAUAUUUUAAAUAUUAUGCUAGUAAUGAAAUGUUAAUCGAUUCUUUAUAUCUGGUUAUAAGCGAAUUAAAUUCAAUUUAGAGGUAUAGUAACUUAAAUAUUAUACCUUAAAGAAAAGGAGGAAAAAGCUUCUUUUUCUACAAAUAAUUUUACUGAGUUAAACAAAAAUCUGAUAAAUCUAAAAUUAGGCUUAGAAGCAGCCAUAUUUAUAAAGCGUUUUAGCUAAUAUAGCUGAAAUCUAAUAUUUAUAUAUAAAAACCAGCAAUAGUAGCUUAUAGAUUAGAAGACUAAUACAACUAAGGUUAAAAUGAUUUUAUAAGUAGAUAUAUUGCUGUGCUCGUAGAAAUGAUUUAAAAUAUUCAUAAUUUUAUAAGUGCAAGUUUAAAUAUAUAAUUAAGGAACUCGGCAAAAAAGCUUUUGCCUGUUUAUCAAAAACAUGUCUAUACGAAGGUAUGUAAAGUCUGGCCUGCCCACUGACUAAUAAUGUUUAAAGGGCCGCGGUAUCUUGACCGUGCGAAGGUAGCAUAAUCAUUAGUCUUUUAAUUAAAGGCUUGUAUGAAUGGUUGGACAAAAAGUAAGCUGUCUUCAGUUAUAGAAAUUGAAUUUGACUUUUAAGUGAAAAGGCUUAAAUAAAACAAAGUGACGAUAAGACCCUAUAAAGCUUUAUAGUGUAGCUUUUUAUUAUAAAUUAUAAAAUUGUAUAACUUAAUUUAAAGUAAAACUUUUUCGUUGGGGCGACGGAAAUAUAACAGAAAUAACUGUUUUUAUAUCAAUAAAACAAAUAUAUUUGGCCUAAAAUGAUCCUUUGCUAAAGAUUAAAAGAUUAAGUUACUUUAGGGAUAACAGCGUAAUCUUCUUUGAGAGUUCAUAUCGACAAGAAGGGUUGCGACCUCGAUGUUGAAUUAAGGUUCCUUUAUGGUGUAGCAGUUAUAAUCGGAGGUCUGUUCGACCUUUAAAUCCUUACAUGAUUUGAGUUCAGACCGGCGUAAGCCAGGUCGGUUUCUAUCUUUUGUAAAACUUAAAAAAUUACUUUAGUACGAAAGGAUUAAGUAAUUGAAAUAAUUUUGGAAGAAAGAUUAAUUUUAAUUUUAUUGCCUUGGCAGAAUUAUGCAUUAGACUUAGGAUC